Molecule: ribosomal RNA, 352 nt
Filed under: uncultured bacterium
Lineage: Bacteria
Description: partial 16S ribosomal RNA
Rfam family: Bacterial small subunit ribosomal RNA
Source: RNAcentral
CCUACGGGGGACAGCAGUGGGGAAUAUUGCGCAAUGGGCGAAAGCCUGACGCAGCGACGCCGCGUGAGGGAUGAAGGUCUUCGGAUCGUAAACCUCUGUCAGCAGGGAAGAACGGUCACGGGGCUAAUCAGCAGUGAAUUGACGGUACCUGCAAAGGAAGCACCGGCUAACUCCGUGCCAGCAGCCGCGGUAAGACGGAGGGUGCGAGCGUUAAUCGGAAUUACUGGGCGUAAGGCGCUCGUAGGCGGUAUGUCAAGUCAAGGGUGAAAUCCCCGCGCUCAACGUGGGAACUGCCUUUGAAACUGGCACCCUGGAGUGUCUGAGAGGAUAUUGGAAUUCCAGGUGUAGCCGU